This is a long non-coding RNA of Saccostrea cuccullata (small rock oyster), 1099 nucleotides long. RefSeq lists it as uncharacterized. The record is from RefSeq and is a predicted model, not a curated record. The transcript is spliced from 3 exons. Lineage: Eukaryota; Metazoa; Mollusca; Bivalvia; Ostreida; Ostreidae.
GUAUGGAGUGAUGAAAGAGUCGACGGUGACAUUUUCAAGUUUGAUUGGCGUGGACUAUCGGAAUGAAGAUGACUGCAGGAAUGGUUUGUUUGAUUAUUGGCCUAUCAAACGUUUUCCAGUCAUUUGAUGAUGCCACCACUUGGGAUAGUAAGCUGCAAAUAUAGACUUGUACUCAGCACGUAUUGCCUUUGAGAAGUAAGGGAUCCUUUUGACACUGAAUCUCGGUGUAUGCGGUCUCAUUGGAGUAACCCGUCUGAAGCAUUUAGCUAUGGGAUUGGAACCUGUGAUGUGUGACUGUCAUCAGAGUACUGAAAUUUGAUUCCAAGCACGAUCAUGAUUUGCCAGAAGAGCAUCUGUUGGGGGAUGACAAGGAAUAAACAGCAUAAUGAAAUUGAAACAUUCAUGUGAAUCAGUCUGUCUUAGUUUAUGAUAUUGACUUUAAAUAUUCAUAUUUAAAUUUUGAUUUGAGAAACAGACAUAAAUCCACAAAUAUGAACAAAUCAAUUGCUUUCAGUUUUUCAAGAGAAAUAGAUUUUGUUACAGAGUCUAUCUUUAGUUUGGAAUAAAUAUUCUUUUUAAGUAUGUGUCAGAUCUUGCAUGUAAACAUCUGUUUUGAGGUCUUCCGUUUCCAAGAGAAGACAUACCAGUUCUAAUAGUUAAGGUUAUAAAUGUGUGUAAAUAUUUGUAUUUUUACAGUAUAAUUGAUUGAUUGAUUGUUUACUGUUUAACGUCCCUCUCCAGAAUAUUUCACUUAUAUGGAGACGUCACCAUUGCCGGUGAAGGGCUGCAAAUUUAGGCCUAUGCUUGGCACUAAUGGCCUUUAAGCAGGGAGGGAUCUUUAUUGUGCAACACCUGCUGUGACACGGGGCCUCGGUUUAUACGGUCUCAUCCGAAGAACCGCCCCAUUAAGUCGCCUUUUACGACAAGCAAGAGGGUACUGAGGACCUAUUCUAACCCGGAAAGGUUUUUGCUAUUUGAGUCAAAGAAAUAAAGAAUGGUAGCAAAGUUGACAAUUGAAACAUUUCACUUUCUGCUUAUCGCUAAGAAGGAAGACCCACUCGUUGCUUUGCAACGAGCUUUGCUCUAGUUCUUCUUAUUU